GAGAAGUCUGCUACCAGGGCAUAACCUGCAAUCCACAAAAAUGAACUCACUCUUGUUCCGCCUGGUCGGAGGAUCUUUCAAGAGGGCAGAGUGAGUAACAGAUGUAGCACGGCUGGCACAUGCAAUAAAAGGGCUGCCCUUCUUCGGAUUUUGAAAAGUGAAGAAGUGGAAGAACAGCCGAGCAGUGGGGACUAUGCCAGCAUCCCUAAGGAUAUUUAUGAAUCCCCUAACAUAAAAGAAGAAG
RNAcentral lists this long non-coding RNA (244 nucleotides) under Zostera marina. RNAcentral's name for it is "long non-coding RNA (ZMAR_LNC001623)". The record is from RNAcentral. Lineage: Eukaryota; Viridiplantae; Streptophyta; Magnoliopsida; Alismatales; Zosteraceae.